RNAcentral lists this ribosomal RNA (507 nucleotides) under Glomus sp. Glo18. RNAcentral's name for it is "SSU rRNA". It matches the Rfam family "Eukaryotic small subunit ribosomal RNA", at positions 569 to 1078 of the family's 1831-position model. The record is from RNAcentral. Lineage: Eukaryota; Fungi; Glomeromycota; Glomeromycetes; Glomerales; Glomeraceae.
AGCAGCCGCGGUAAUUCCAGCUCCAAUAGCGUAUAUUAAAGUUGCUGCAGUUAAAAAGCUCGUAGUUGAAUUUCGGGACCAAUAUGUCGGUCGUGCCUCGGUACGUACUGGCAUCGUUGGUUUCUCCCUUCUGACGAACCAUGAUGUCACUUAUUUGGUGUCAUGGGGAAUCAGGACUGUUACUUUGAAAAAAUUAGAGUGUUUAAAGCAGGCUCACGCUUGAAUACAUUAGCAUGGAAUAAUGAAAUAGGACGUUUGAUUCUAUUUUGUUGGUUUCUAGGAUCGACGUAAUGAUUAAUAGGGAUAGUUGGGGGCAUUAGUAUUCAAUUGUCAGAGGUGAAAUUCUUGGAUUUAUUGAAGACUAACUACUGCGAAAGCAUUUGCCAAGGAUGUUUUCAUUAAUCAAGAACGAAAGUUAGGGGAUCGAAGACGAUCAGAUACCGUCGUAGUCUUAACCAUAAACUAUGCCGACUAGGGAUCGGAUGAUGUUAAUUUUUUAAUGACUCA